This 2861-nucleotide long non-coding RNA is filed under the name Sus scrofa (pig). RNAcentral describes it as "lncRNA (ENSSSCG00065017756.1)". The record is from RNAcentral. Lineage: Eukaryota; Metazoa; Chordata; Mammalia; Artiodactyla; Suidae.
UGUCUUGUUAAAGUGCUUACUUUUCCCAUGAGGGAUUCAGAUAAUUUGUUUUCUCUUUGGUUUGGAUAUUAGGGGUAAUUUCUCCCCUUAAAAAUCGAGUUCUGAAGGAAGCUGGUGGCUACAGCUCCGAUUGGACCCCUAGCCCUAAAGUGCGGCCCUAAAAAGCCAAAAAAAAAAAAAAAAAAAAAAAGGCUUUUUUCUUCAGAAUGCUUAGUAGUUGAUUUUGUAGCCUAAACUUUCUAGACUGGUGCAGUAGGGAAAGGAACCAGGAAAGGUAGGGGCUGGGCUUGAUUGAAUUGUUCACCCAUUUGCUGAUGGAGCCAGAAAAAAACCCAUAACAGCAGAUGUACAAAUUUUCAUCUGUAAUAUUUAUUUAAAACAGGUAUGUCUGAGAGUAUAUGCUUGGGUAAAUUAUAUAUUGAAUUCUACUGCUUAGUAUGAUUGUGUUCAACUAGAUGCAUUUAGUAUUAACUGUGAGAUAUGCUGCAGCAAUAAUAAGAAAUGCAGUGGGUGCCUUUCUGCUGUUAUCAAAAUCCAUUAACAAGUUUUGCUGUGCUUGACUGCUCUCCAUUGUUAGGCUUUAUGGUUCAGACUAAAGCUGUAGAUGUAAAUGACAUCCUUUCUACAACACUUUCUCAAGGUCUCACAGACAAUGAUGUUGUAUUUUGAGCAAACAUUUGUUUACUCCAUAGUAAUAGUUGAUGCUAGACAGCUAUGGUUUGCUUUAGUUCUGCCCCUCUGUUUUAUUAUUCUUUUUUUUUUUUUCCUUCUUUUUUCUUUCUUUCUUUCCCUUUUUUUUUUUUUUUUUUGGACCACACGCACAGCAUAAAGAAGUUGCUGGGCCAGGAAUUGAUCCCGUGCUACAGUUGUGACCUGUGCUGCAACUGCAGCCACGCUGGAUCUUUAACCUGCUGCACCACAUGGGUGUUGGCAGUGUUCUUGAGAUUCUCGAAACUACAGUGACUCCCGACACCCACUCUUCUUUAUUGCUUUAGCUACAGAGAGACAAGAGCUCAGGCCCAGGGAUAACCUUUGGUGUAGAAGAUCCUGUGAAAAGUGGGUAAAGCUGAUUCUUAAGCCACUAAAGCCAAGAAACAAACAAGCAAACCAAAAUUUAGUUUUUGGAGUAGGAGUUUAAAUGUAGGAAAUCUUCUCUUUGCAAGGUGCAAGAUGUUAUGUCAUGAUGUUGAGUGUUUAUUGGUUUUUGUUUGCUUUUUUAAGGGUUGAGAUCUUUUAAGAAUUUUAGAAUCUUCAUUUCUUUAGCUAUUUAAAAAUUUUUUAUUCUUUUGCUUUUUUAGGGCCUCACCUGCAGCAUAUGGAAGCUCCUAGGCUAGGGGUUGAAUCAGAGCUAUAGCUGCCAGUCUGUGUGCUACAGCCACAGCAAUGCAGGAUCCAAGCCAUGUUUGUGAUCUUUACCAUAGCUCAUGGCAACGGCUAGAUCCCUGACCCACUGUGUGAAGCUAGGGAUCGAACCCAAAUCCUCAUGGAUACUAGUUGGAUUUGUUUCUGCAGCACCACAAUGGGAACUCCUCUUUAGCUAUUUAAAGAUUUGGAAUAAAGAUUUAGAAACUUUUGGAGUUCCCAUCGUGGCACAGUGAAUAUGAAUCCGACCAGAAACCAUGAGGUUACCGGUUCCAUCCCUGGCUUCACUCAGUGGGUUAAGGAUCUGGCAUUGUCCUGAGCUGUGGUGUAGGUUGCAGAUGCAGCUCGGAUCCCUCGUUGCUGUGGCUGUGGUGUAGGCUGGCAGCUAUAUCUGUGAUUAGACCCUUAGCCUGGGAACCUCUGUAUGCUGUGAGUGCGGCCCUAAAAAGACAAAAAAAAAAAAAAAGAUUUAGAAACUUUUUUUGGGGGGGGCAGUAGCAGAUCACUUUAUUAAUCGGAGGAAAACUGUGCACUGCCUUUCCAGAAAAAGACAUGCAUACAUUCACUCAACAAGUUUAUUCAGCAGGUGUAUCAAAUGACUACUACCAGACAUAUUUAAAGAUGUUCAGAAUAUAUCAGUGAACAAAAUAGAAAAAAGAACCCCAGUCCUCCAAAACCUUGUCCCUUGUGGCACUUACAUUUUAGUGGAGUCAGCAAGCACUAAACAUAGUAAGUAGGAACAUUGUGCAGUGUAUGAGGAUGUGGUAAGCGCUGUGGAAAAAAUACGAUACAGAAGGGAAGCCUGGUGGUUGUUGCAGUUUAAACAGAAGUUCAGGAUAGGCCUGAUAGGAUGAUAUUUGAGCAAAAGGUUCUAGGUGGUGCUCAAAUUAGUCAUUUGGAGUUCUGGGCUUUGAGCAUGCCAGGCAGAGGGUGGGAGCAAGGAAAACAGCAUGGUUGGAGCCGGACAACAAGGAGAAGGGUGGGUGUUAGUUUUCUGGGGUUGCUGGGUGACUCAGAUCGACAGAAAUGUAUUCUAGGCCAGGAGUCUGAAGCAAAGGUGUGGGCAGAGUUGGUCCCUUCUGGAGGCUGAGUAGUAUUCAUCCCCUGCUUCUCUCCUAGCUUCUGGUGGCUGCCAGCAUCCCUGGGCUUACAGACCAUCACUCCAGUCUCUGCCUCUGGGUUUACUUCUCUGUCUCAUCUCUCUCUACAUGUCAUCAGUUUUAGGACCCACCCCAAAUCCAGGAUGAUCUCAUCUUAAAAUCCUUAGCAGUUGGGAGUUCCCGUCGUGGCUCAGUGGUUAACGAAUCCAGCUAGGAACCAUGAGGUUGUGGGUUUGAUCUCUGGCCUCGCUCAGUGGGUUAAGGAUCUGGCAUUGCUGUGAGCUGUGGUGUGGGUCGCAGAUGCAGCUCGGAUCCUGCGUUGCUGUGGCUCUGGUGUAGGCUGAUGGCUACAGCUCUGAUUAGACCCCUAGCCUGGGAACCUCCACGUGCUGUGGGAGC